UAUGUGAUCGUCUCUCGCAUAUCAAUAAGCGGAGGAAAAGAAACUAACAAGGAUUCCCCUAGUAACGGCGAGUGAAGCGGGAAGAGCUCAAAUUUGAAAUCUUAAAGGGUUUCCCUUUACGAAUUGUAGUUUAAAGAAGUGUUUUCUGUUGAGGUUUUGGUAAAAGUUCUUUGGAAUAGGACAUCAUAGAGGGUGAGAAUCCCGUAUUUGACCUUUACUUUCAACUUUGUGAUACACUUUCAAAGAGUCGGAUUGUUUGGGAAUGCAGUCCAAAAUGGGUGGUAAAUUUCAUCUAAAGCUAAAUAUUGGCGAGAGACCGAUAGCGAACAAGUACCGUGAGGGAAAGAUGAAAAGAACUUUGAAAAGAGAGUUAAACAGUACGUGAAAUUGUCAAAAGGGAAGCGUUUGACACCAGUGUUGUUUUUCUGAAAAUCAAUUAAAGAACUGUUUAUGCUAAGUUGUUUAGACUUUAUCAGCUACUGUUUAGUUUUGAGCUUUUCUUUAAUGCACUUUUCAGUUAACAAGUCAACAUCAAUUUCUUUUGCUGUAAAAAAGCUUGAGGAAGGUGGCUUGAGAUUCGUCUUAAGUGUUUAUAGCCUCUUGCCUAUGCAGUCGGAGAGAUUGAGGUCUGCAGCGUAGAUCCUUCGGGGCUAAAUGCAUUUGUGUUAAGUUAUAGCAUUUUAUAGACAACUUGUUGACUAUGAUUUGUCUUGUAGCUUACUCGCUUAUGUUAUUUUACCUACGCUUAGGAUGUUGAGCGCAUGUCUCUCUCU
This 773-nucleotide ribosomal RNA is filed under the name uncultured Neocallimastigales. Its description in RNAcentral is "partial large subunit ribosomal RNA". It matches the Rfam family "Eukaryotic large subunit ribosomal RNA", at positions 24 to 616 of the family's 3401-position model. The record is from RNAcentral. Lineage: Eukaryota; Fungi; Neocallimastigomycota; Neocallimastigomycetes; Neocallimastigales.